Molecule: unclassified non-coding RNA, 419 nt
Filed under: Hevea brasiliensis (rubber tree)
Lineage: Eukaryota; Viridiplantae; Streptophyta; Magnoliopsida; Malpighiales; Euphorbiaceae
Source: RNAcentral
UGUUGAGUUGGUGAACGUUCGAUGAUCAGCAUCGUGCCUUUCUUUCAGUUUUGAAUCGGCAGCUUAAAUGGAUUUUGAAAACUUGGUAUUCUAAAGACAAGUUCGUUUUAUUACAGUACUAGUUCAUCCCCAUCAUGCAUGUGAAAUCAGUGUUGUUAGAUGGGGGUGUGCAGAAAUUUUGAUAGAAACUAGCUGAAUCUGGCUUUGCAUGGGUCAUGUUUCUUUGAAGUUGGACUCAUGCUGUGCGUGUGAAUUUUGGCGAACUUUGUUAAGGGGAGGAAGAAUUAUGCAUUGAGGUAUUUAAAGCAUCAAACCUCUAGUGAACUUGAGGUGAAACAUGAUUGAAACAGUUUGGUUUAAAUUGCGAGGGACCAUUCCCUUUUCCACAUGUUAAUGGAUUUGAUAUGUAUUGAGGUUCU